AGCUAGUGUUAAGUUAUGGCCACACUAGCUACGACCGUUAGGUACUUGAGAGGGUGUCUGCAUGGCACUGAACACGGCAUACACUACCGGUGGCAGCAGUAGGGAUAUGGGCAUGGGCGAAGCUGACCAGCACGCGCGUGCACGAUGAGGCUUCGGGUCGUAAGUGCUUUCUGAGGAUGAGUAAGGACAGUACUCAGGAAUAGCCUCGGCUAACUACGUGCCAGCAGCCGCGGUAAAACGUAGGAGGCAAGCGUUAUCCGGAUUUACUGGGCGUAAAGCGUGUGUAGGCGGUUCGGCAAGUUGGAUGUGAAAGCUCCUGGCUUAACUAGGAGAGGUCGUUCAAUACUACCGAACUUGAGGGCAUCAGAGGAAGGUGGAAUUCCCGGUGUAGUGGUGAAAUGCGUAGAUAUCGGGAGGAACACCAGUGGCGAAGGCGGCCUUCUGGGAUGUUCCUGACGCUCAGACACGAAAGCUAGGGUAGCGAACGGGAUUAGAGACCCCGGUAGUCCUAGCAGUAAACGAUGUAGACUUGGUGUCGGAGGUGUCAAAACCUUCGGUAUCGUAGCUAACGCGAUAAGUCUACCGCCUGGGGACUACGGCCGCAAGGUUAAAACUCAAAGGAAUUGACGGGGGCCCGCACAAGCAGCGGAGCGUGUGGUUUAAUUCGAUGUUACACGAAGAACCUUACCCAGGUUUGACAUGUUGGUGGUAGGAAUCCGAAAGGUGACCGACCCGCAAGGGAGCCUUCACAGGUGCUGCAUGGCUGUCGUCAGCUCGUGUCGUGAGAUGUUCGGUUAAGUCCGCUAACGGGCGCAACCCUCGCCGUAUGUUACAUGUGUCAUGCGGGACCGCCGGUAUCAAGCCGGAGGAAGGUGGGGAUGACGUCAAGUCAGCAUGGCCUUUAUAUCUGGGGCUACACACACGCUACAAUGGCCGGUACAAUGGGUCGCUAAGCCGCGAGGUAGAGCCAAUCCCGCAAAGCCGGUCUCAGUUCAGAUCACAGGCUGCAACCCGCCUGUGUGAAGUUGGAGUUGCUAGUAAACGCGCGUCAGCUAUAGUGCGUUGAAUACGUUCUCGGGCCUUGUACACACCGCCCGUCACGUCAUGGGAGCUGGUAACACCUGAAGCCGGUAGCCUAACCGCAAGGAGGGCGCUGUCGAAGGUGGUGCUGGUGACUGGGACGAAGUCGUAACAAGGUAGCCG
RNAcentral lists this ribosomal RNA (1203 nucleotides) under denitrifying bacterium enrichment culture clone NOB_2_H6. Its description in RNAcentral is "bacterial SSU rRNA". It matches the Rfam family "Bacterial small subunit ribosomal RNA", at positions 243 to 1502 of the family's 1533-position model. The record is from RNAcentral.